UACGGGGGGAGCAAGCGUUGUUCGGAUUUACUGGGCGUAAAGGGCGCGUAGGCGGCUUGGCAAGUUGGAUGUGAAAGCCCAGGGCUCAACCCUGGAAUUGCAUUCAAGACUGCCUUGCUUGAAUUCGGUAGAGGUUGGUGGAAUUCCCAGUGUAGAGGUGAAAUUCGUAGAGAUUGGGAAGAACACCCGUGGCGAAGGCGGCCAACUGGACCGACAUUGACGCUGAGGCGCGAAAGCGUGGGGAUCAAACAGG
RNAcentral lists this ribosomal RNA (253 nucleotides) under uncultured bacterium. RNAcentral's name for it is "partial 16S ribosomal RNA". It matches the Rfam family "Bacterial small subunit ribosomal RNA", at positions 524 to 776 of the family's 1533-position model. The record is from RNAcentral.